GACGAACGCUGGCGGCGUGCUUAACACAUGCAAGUCGAACGGAAAGGCCCUGCUUUUGUGGGGUGCUCGAGUGGCGAACGGGUGAGUAACACGUGAGUAACCUGCCCUUUACUUUGGGAUAACUUCAGGAAACUGGGGCUAAUAUCGGAUAGGAGAUCCUGCUGCAUGGUGGGGGGUGGAAAGUUUCGGCGGUUGGGGGUGGACUGGCGGCUUAUCAGCUUGUUGGUGGGGUAGGGGCUUACCCAGGCUUUGACGGGUAGCCUGCCUGGCAGGGUGACCGGCCACAUUGGGACUGAGAUACGGCCCAGACUCCUACGGGAGGCAGCAGUGGGGAGUAUUGCACAAUGGGCGGAAGCGUGAUGCAGCAACGCCGCGUGCGGGAUGACGGCCUUCGGGUUGUAAACCGCUUUCGCCUGUGACGAAGCGUGAGUGACGGUAAUGGGUAAAGAAGCACCGGCUAACUACGUG
Molecule: ribosomal RNA, 468 nt
Filed under: uncultured bacterium
Lineage: Bacteria
Description: partial 16S ribosomal RNA
Rfam family: Bacterial small subunit ribosomal RNA
Source: RNAcentral